UGCUCCCACACCUUCGGAAAAUCCCCUUCAACUCCAUUGACACUCAGCUUUCGUUCAAACGCUUCUGAGAGGCACCCAGAUAAGAAAGGCCGCAAACCCUUUUCUUGAAGCCCUUCAUUUCAUCAGCUCCUCUGGAUAAUUGGAGUAAAUUGAAAGAAUGCACAAAUUAUAUAGGUUCCCGUGUCGUUUGUAUGGGCAUGCUGGCACCAAGAAGGUUCUUGCAGAAAAGGAAGAAAGUAGAAGCUUUCAAAGAUGCUGCUGAUGAAGCCGAGCAGAAGAACUGGAGGAGACUUAUGAAUGAAAUUGAAAAGACAGGUUCUGCAGUUUCUGUGCUCAAAAGUGAAAAGCUCAAGGACAAGACUAUUCCCAAGGAUGUUGUCCUUGGAACUUUGGUUAGAUUUAAGCAACUGAAAAAUGGAACCUUGUGAGCCAGAUUCUCGAAUGGCUCCAGACACAAAACUGGUGGGACUUCAGCAAAAUGGAUUUCCUGAUGCUUAUGACAGCUUAUGGAAAGUAAGGGCACUACACAAGGGCUGAGAAGCUUUUAAGGUUGAUGAAUGAGAAAGGCCGCCAUCCACCAAGGGUAAUAUCUCAUACUGCUCUUAUGGAAGCAUAUGGAAAAGGACGGCGAUAUAACAAUGCUGAAGCAAUAUUUAGAAGGAUGCUGUCUUCUGGGCCUGAACCGUCUGCUGUGACAUAUCAAAUAAUACUAAAGAUAUUUGUUGAGGGAUCUAAGUUCAAGGAAGCUGAAGAAUUAUUUGAGACUCUUUUAAAUGAGGAAAAAUCACCUUUAAAGCCAGACCAAAAGAUGUUCCACAUGAUGAUUUAUACGUAUAAGAAGGCGGGGAGCUAUGAUAAAGCUUGUAAGAUGUUUGCAGUGAUGUCUAAGAGAGGUGUUCCACAAUCGACGAUCACUUAUAAUAGCUUGAUAUCAUUUGAAAAUAAUACAAGGAAGUCUCCAAGAUGUAUAACCAGAUGCAAAGAGCUGAUCUCCGACCUGACAUAGUGAGUUAUGCCUCACUCAUUAGUGCUUAUGGGAAAGCAAGAAAAGAGGAAGAAGCCUUGGCCGUUUUUGAGGAAAUGCUUGAUGCUGGUGUCAGACCUACCCGCAAAGCUUAUAACAUUUUGCUUGACACAUUUGCAGUAUCAGGAAUGGUGGAACAAGCUCGAACUGUCUUCAAAAGCAUGAGAAGGGACAUGUAUACUUCUCAGUACCUUCAUGUUGAUAUACUAUAGUCGGAGUUUCGGAGAUGAGUUACACUUGCUAAACCUUAAAUUCGAAAUGCUCUGUUUUGGUUCCAAUAGGAUUGUUGUGCUAACUAGUGGCAGUAAAUGAAUACUGAGCACCAUGUGCACUUUAUGGGAUCGGCCUAAUAAACAAAACUGGAUAAGAAAAAGUUUCAACUCUGUAAAAUAUUUACGUCGUCUCUCUUUCUUGUCUAGCUCUAUCACGAGCAGAAUGAGUUUAAAAAUAACUGAUUACAUUGACGUAUUAGGUUGGACCUGUUAGUUGUUGGGUUCACUUAUCCUAAGAUUCUAGGACCCAGAAGUCUUGGAUGAUUCAGUAUUUCAUACUUGAUAAGAUAUUUAAAUAAGUAUCAUUUUCAAGCAGGACUUUUCUUGUAUAAUUUAUUUGACAUGUGUUGCCUUUUUUUGUCCAUCCUAUUUACAUAAAUAUUGUUUUGUAGUGAAUUUUGUCUGUUUACGUGUCUGAGCAUGUAUAUGAACGUACUUGAGUUUCCAAAAACUGAUCAUUAUUAAAUCAGAUUGUAAAUCCUACAAACCAGCCAAUGUUGGAUUGGAUUUGAUCGGCAUCCAUCGGGUCGUUCCUCUCGCUACUCUCCCUUCACCAAUUACCUUGACAUUUGUUUGUCGAACGAAAUACCUAGGUCUUGUAUGCAAUUUAUGGUUCUACUGUCUGAUAGAACAUGAAUUAUUAGGUGGCAUAAUGUCAAGUAUCGUAUGUCAAAAACAGUGGUCCAUUUAUAGAUAAUUAAAGAUAUGCCUUUGUUGGAGGGUAGAAAUAGCCCUAUCCCUAAAAAUUUACUCUCUGAUCUGGAUAGUGAACCCUCUGUUUUUCUUUGUUUUUUCUUCAGGUUUAACCUUGAUCUUUGCUCUUAUACGAGGAUGCUAUCAGCAUACGUGAAUGCAUCUGACAUGGAGGGUGCUGAGAAAUUAAUACAAGAUGCAUUUAAACCCAAUAUCAUCACUUAUGGGACGUUAAUCAAGGGAAAUUAA
This is a long non-coding RNA of Pyrus x bretschneideri (Chinese white pear), 2238 nucleotides long. RefSeq lists it as uncharacterized. The transcript has 6 exons. NCBI's taxonomy places the organism in Eukaryota, Viridiplantae, Streptophyta, Magnoliopsida, Rosales, Rosaceae. The record is from RefSeq and is a predicted model, not a curated record.